Molecule: ribosomal RNA, 494 nt
Filed under: uncultured bacterium
Lineage: Bacteria
Description: bacterial SSU rRNA
Rfam family: Bacterial small subunit ribosomal RNA
Source: RNAcentral
UGGGGAAUCUUGGACAAUGGGGGCAACCCUGAUCCAGCCAUGCCGCGUGAGUGAUGAAGGCCUUAGGGUCGUAAAGCUCUUUCGCCUGUGAAGAUAAUGACGGUAGCAGGUAAAGAAACCCCGGCUAACUCCGUGCCAGCAGCCGCGGUAAUACGGAGGGGGUUAGCGUUGUUCGGAAUUACUGGGCGUAAAGCGCACGUAGGCGGACCAGAAAGUUGGGGGUGAAAUCCCGGGGGCUCAACCCCGGAACUGCCUCCAAAACUAUUGGUCUAGAGUUCGAGAGAGGUGAGUGGAAUUCCAAGUGUAGAGGUGAAAUUCGUAGAUAUUUGGAGGAACACCAGUGGCGAAGGCGGCUCACUGGCUCGAUACUGACGCUGAGGUGCGAAAGUGUGGGGAGCAAACAGGAUUAGAUACCCUGGGUAGUCCACACCGUAAAACGAUGAAUGCCAGUCGUCGGGUAGCAUGCUAUUCGGUGACACACCUAACGGAUUAAG